Molecule: unclassified non-coding RNA, 277 nt
Organism: Aotus nancymaae (Ma's night monkey)
Lineage: Eukaryota; Metazoa; Chordata; Mammalia; Primates; Aotidae
Source: Ensembl
ACACAAUCUUAAAAUCUUUCCGCCUUAGACAAUUCUUUCCAAAUACUUCUUUUGUGUUUUUUAACCUAUAAAAGAUAAUGGAAUAUGUUUUAUAGACUGGAUUUUAUCUCGUCUCCUUUCCCUCUCCCAACUGCCCUCAGUUUAAUAGUUGUCAGUUUUACCUCAGUGUUGAAUUUAAUUAUGUAGGAACAAAAUAUUCCUCAGUAAAUUAGCUUGCUAAAUAUUCUGUCACGUUUACUUCCCCUUUGAGAAAUGGCUUAAUUACAGAAAUCUACGU